RNAcentral lists this ribosomal RNA (99 nucleotides) under Caerostris darwini. Lineage: Eukaryota; Metazoa; Arthropoda; Arachnida; Araneae; Araneidae. The record is from RNAcentral.
AGUUGAAUAUACCGGUUCUCGUUAGAUCACCGAAGUCAAGCAUCAUUGGGCGCGGUCAGUACUUGGGUGGGUGACCACCUGGGAACACCGCGUGCCGUU